GGGUCUUUAGCUCAGCAGUAGAGCGGCAGACUUCGGCAAUAUCUGAAGUUACGUUUCGACGUGUAUUCUGCAGGUCGCGGGUUCAAUCCCCGUAGGACUCU
This 101-nucleotide transfer RNA is filed under the name Mycosarcoma maydis (corn smut). Its description in RNAcentral is "tRNA-Arg for anticodon UCG". It matches the Rfam family "tRNA". From Rfam's summary of the family: Transfer RNA (tRNA) molecules are approximately 80 nucleotides in length. Their secondary structure includes four short double-helical elements and three loops (D, anti-codon, and T loops). Further hydrogen bonds mediate the characteristic L-shaped molecular structure. tRNAs have two regions of fundamental functional importance: the anti-codon, which is responsible for specific mRNA codon recognition, and the 3' end, to which the tRNAs corresponding amino acid is attached (by aminoacyl-tRNA synthetases). tRNAs cope with the degeneracy of the genetic code in two manners: having more than one tRNA (with a specific anti-codon) for a particular amino acid; and 'wobble' base-pairing, i.e. permitting non-standard base-pairing at the 3rd anti-codon position. The record is from RNAcentral. Lineage: Eukaryota; Fungi; Basidiomycota; Ustilaginomycetes; Ustilaginales.